GCGAUCGUGGCGGAAUUGGCAUACGCGCACGUUUGAGGGGCGUGUCCGAUAAGGGUACGGGUUCAAGUCCCGUCGAUCGCA
RNAcentral lists this transfer RNA (81 nucleotides) under Candidatus Fimadaptatus faecigallinarum. Its description in RNAcentral is "tRNA-Leu". It matches the Rfam family "tRNA". Rfam says of the family: Transfer RNA (tRNA) molecules are approximately 80 nucleotides in length. Their secondary structure includes four short double-helical elements and three loops (D, anti-codon, and T loops). The record is from RNAcentral. RNAcentral also lists the same sequence under 1 other name. Lineage: Bacteria; Bacillati; Bacillota; Clostridia; Eubacteriales.